RNAcentral lists this ribosomal RNA (466 nucleotides) under uncultured bacterium. Its description in RNAcentral is "partial 16S ribosomal RNA". It matches the Rfam family "Bacterial small subunit ribosomal RNA", at positions 28 to 507 of the family's 1533-position model. The record is from RNAcentral.
GAUGAACGCUGGCGGCGUGCUUAACACAUGCAAGUCGAACGAUGAAGCCCAGCUUGCUGGGUGGAUUAGUGGCGAACGGGUGAGUAACACGUGAGUAACCUGCCCUUAACUCUGGGAUAAGCCUGGGAAACUGGGUCUAAUACCGGAUAGGAGCGUCCACCGCAUGGUGGGUGUUGGAAAGAUUUAUCGGUUUUGGAUGGACUCGCGGCCUAUCAGCUUGUUGGUGAGGUAAUGGCUCACCAAGGCGACGACGGGUAGCCGGCCUGAGAGGGUGACCGGCCACAAUGGGACUGAGAAACGGCCCAGACUCCUACGGGAGGCAGCAGUGGGGAAUAUUGCACAAUGGGCGAAAGCCUGAUGCAGCGACGCCGCGUGAGGGAUGACGGCCUUCGGGUUGUAAACCUCUUUCAGUAGGGAAGAAGCGAAAGUGACGGUACCUGCAGAAGAAGCACCGGCUAACUACGUG